Salvia hispanica is the source of this 501-nucleotide non-coding RNA. Lineage: Eukaryota; Viridiplantae; Streptophyta; Magnoliopsida; Lamiales; Lamiaceae. The record is from RefSeq and is a predicted model, not a curated record.
UGAAAAUUAUAUAUAAAAAAUUGUUAGUUAGAGGAGGUGGGCAUACUGCCAACUGAUCUAUGUUGGUUUCACUUUGUAAAACCCUCAUGAAUAAUUUUCCACAACUGUCUCAAAAUCAAGGUUUUGUUGGAAUCUCUAUGUGAAAAUCCAAUCAAAGGCAGAUGAAUAUAUAUGGAGGCCUAUUAUCGUUCAUUAAUUUCCUCUAAUGGAAGGACGUUGAUGAAGAUUUUGCCCUUUUCCGGAAAAUAAAAGUUAAACAUGGAAAAAGCUUAUGCAAAUUACACAGAGUGGUAGGGCAAAAAGGAAGAAUAUAUUUUUAGUGCUUUUGGUUUUACAGUGGUUUUAAUGUAGGCUCAUGAUUGAUUUUUCUGACAAUUUAGAUAAAAUAAUCGUAGCAUUUAAGGCGUUUUAAUUUGUAUAGGUUAUUAAUCUUCUCAAAUACUACAUGGCUAGUUCAAGAUCAUUUGACAUCCAUUUUUAAAUUUCAAAUUUUAAAAUAUU